This 491-nucleotide ribosomal RNA is filed under the name uncultured bacterium. RNAcentral describes it as "partial 16S ribosomal RNA". It matches the Rfam family "Bacterial small subunit ribosomal RNA", at positions 29 to 506 of the family's 1533-position model. The record is from RNAcentral.
AGUGAACGCUGGCGGUAGGCCUAACACAUGCAAGUCGAACGGCAGCACAGUAAGAGCUUGCUCUUACGGGUGGCGAGUGGCGGACGGGUGAGGAAUACAUCGGAAUCUACUUUUUCGUGGGGGAUAACGUAGGGAAACUUACGCUAAUACCGCAUACGACCUACGGGUGAAAGCAGGGGAUCUUCGGACCUUGCGCGAUUGAAUGAGCCGAUGUCGGAUUAGCUAGUUGGCGGGGUAAAGGCCCACCAAGGCGACGAUCCGUAGCUGGUCUGAGAGGAUGAUCAGCCACACUGGAACUGAGACACGGUCCAGACUCCUACGGGAGGCAGCAGUGGGGAAUAUUGGACAAUGGGCGCAAGCCUGAUCCAGCCAUACCGCGUGGGUGAAGAAGGCCUUCGGGUUGUAAAGCCCUUUUGUUGGGAAAGAAAAGCAGCAGGUUAAUACCCCGCUGUUCUGACGGGACUCAAAGAAUAAGCACCGGCGAACUUCGU